Molecule: ribosomal RNA, 478 nt
Filed under: uncultured bacterium
Lineage: Bacteria
Description: bacterial SSU rRNA
Rfam family: Bacterial small subunit ribosomal RNA
Source: RNAcentral
AGCGGCAGGCUUAACACAUGCAAGUCGAGGGGCAGCACGGGUAGCAAUACCGUGGUGGCGACCGGCGCAAGGGUGCGUAACGCGUGAGACAACAUGCCCUAGUACAAGGGGGAUAAUCCAGGGAAACUUGGUCUAAUAUCCCAUAGUAUUUAGAGGAGGCAUCUUCUAUAAAUUAAAGCUUCGGUGGUAUAGGAUUGGCUCGCGUGACAUUAGCUAGAUGGUGAGGUAACGGCUCACCAUGGCAAUGAUGUCUAGGGGUUCUGAGAGGAAGGCCCCCCACACUGGGACUGAGACACGGCCCAGACUCCUACGGGAGGCAGCAGUGAGGAAUAUUGGACAAUGGAUGGAAAUCUGAUCCAGCCAUGCCGCGUGCAGGAAGACAGCCCUAUGGGUUGUAAACUGCUUUUAUAUGGGAGCAAUAAGGUCUACGUGUAGACUGAUGAGAGUACCAUAUGAAUAAGCAUCGGCUAACUCCGUG